UGCUCAGUAGUUUUAAUUGAGAACAGGUAAUUUCGGAUUACCAGGUAGAACCUUGAAUGGGGGCUUGGGCAU
This 72-nucleotide transfer RNA is filed under the name Ascidiella aspersa. Its description in RNAcentral is "transfer RNA-Arg". The record is from RNAcentral. Lineage: Eukaryota; Metazoa; Chordata; Ascidiacea; Phlebobranchia; Ascidiidae.